This 975-nucleotide ribosomal RNA is filed under the name Triticum aestivum (bread wheat). Its description in RNAcentral is "partial small subunit ribosomal RNA". The record is from RNAcentral. Lineage: Eukaryota; Viridiplantae; Streptophyta; Magnoliopsida; Poales; Poaceae.
AUGCCGCAUCAGUCCCUCCCCUCUCCUCUCAACUCACUCGCUAGUCGCACAUCUAACCCGCUCACCUUCCCCAGCCGCAUCGUCGAGAACGUCGCGGAGCUCGCAACCACCACGACUCUGCCAGCCGACCACCGCACCACUCUCCGGCGACCCGUAUCCGCGGCGGUGCUGGUCUCCGGCGAGUUCCUUGCUCAGAUCCGAAGCGGGGUGCCUCGAUCUGCAACGCCAGAAGCCCCGGGCGAAGACACGGCCACGGUGGUGCAGCAUGUGGUCUUCAUCGUCUACCACUCCGCCGUCUUCGGCAACCCGCACCACUUCUGCGUCCACAUGUCCUUCAAGGGCCGCACCGUCCUGUUCGACUGCGGCAUCCACCCGGCCUACUCCGGCAUGGCGGCGCUGCCCUACUUCGACGAGAUCGACCCCUCCGGCAUCGAUGUCCUCCUAGUCACCCACUUCCACUUGGACCACGCCGCCUCGCUGCCCUACUUCCUCGAGAAGACGACGUUCAAGGGCCGCGUGUUCAUGACCCAUGCCACCAAGGCCAUCUACAGGCUGCUGCUCUCGGAUUACGUCAAGGUCAUAGACUUCCACCAGACACUUGAAGUUAAUGGCAUACGCUUCUGGUGCUAUACUACUGGCCAUGUACUUGGUGCUGCCAUGUUCAUGGUGGAUAUUGCCGGUGUUCGCAUUCUUUACACCGGUGACUACUCCCGUGAAGAAGACCGGCACCUGAAAGCUGCUGAGAUCCCCCAGUUCUCCCCUAAUAUUUGCAUUAUUGAGUCAACUUAUGGCGUGCAGCAACACCAACCCCGCCAUAUCAGAGAAAAGCGCUUCACUGAUGCCAUCCACAACACUGUUUCUCAAGGGGGGCGUGUUCUUAUCCCGGCAUAUGCUCUUGGUAGAGCACAGGAACUGUUGCUUAUCCUGGAUGAGUAUUGGUCUAACCACCCAGAGCUCAAUAAGAUUCCAUAUUAG